UGGCGGACGGGUGAGUAAUGUCUGGGAAACUGCCCGAUGGAGGGGGAUAACUACUGGAAACGGUAGCUAAUACCGCAUAACGUCGCAAGACCAAAGAGGGGGACCUUAGGGCCUCUUGCCAUCGGAUGUGCCCAGAUGGGAUUAGCUAGUAGGUGGGGUAACGGCUCACCUAGGCGACGAUCCCUAGCUGGUCUGAGAGGAUGACCAGCCACACUGGAACUGGGACACGGUCCAG
This 235-nucleotide ribosomal RNA is filed under the name uncultured bacterium. RNAcentral's name for it is "partial 16S ribosomal RNA". It matches the Rfam family "Bacterial small subunit ribosomal RNA", at positions 96 to 334 of the family's 1533-position model. The record is from RNAcentral.